UACGUAUGGUGCAAGCGUUAUCCGGAUUUACUGGGUGUAAAGGGAGCGCAGGCGGCACGGCAAGCCUGAUGUGAAAGCCCGCGGCCCAACCGCGGGACUGCAUUGGGAACUACCGGGCUGGAGUGCCGGAGAGGUAGGCAGAAUUCCUAGUGUAGCGGUGAAAUGCGUAGAUAUUAGGAGGAACACCAGUGGCGAAGGCGGCUUACUGGACUGUAACUGACGUUGAGGCUCGAAAGCGUGGGGAGCAAACAGG
This 253-nucleotide ribosomal RNA is filed under the name uncultured bacterium. RNAcentral describes it as "partial 16S ribosomal RNA". It matches the Rfam family "Bacterial small subunit ribosomal RNA", at positions 524 to 776 of the family's 1533-position model. The record is from RNAcentral.